UACGUAGGGUCCGAGCGUUGUCCGGAAUUACUGGGCGUAAAGAGCUCGUAGGUGGUUUGUCGCGUUGUUCGUGAAAACUCACAGCUCAACUGUGGGCGUGCGGGCGAUACGGGCAGACUUGAGUACUGCAGGGGAGACUGGAAUUCCUGGUGUAGCGGUGGAAUGCGCAGAUAUCAGGAGGAACACCGGCGGCGAAGGCGGCUGCCUGGACCAGUCCUGACGCUGAGGCGCGAAAGCUAGGGGAGCAAACAGG
RNAcentral lists this ribosomal RNA (253 nucleotides) under uncultured bacterium. RNAcentral describes it as "partial 16S ribosomal RNA". It matches the Rfam family "Bacterial small subunit ribosomal RNA", at positions 524 to 776 of the family's 1533-position model. The record is from RNAcentral.